This is a long non-coding RNA of Ictalurus punctatus (channel catfish), 418 nucleotides long. The record is from Ensembl. Lineage: Eukaryota; Metazoa; Chordata; Actinopteri; Siluriformes; Ictaluridae.
GUACACAACUCCACAUUACACAGAGAGGUACACAAGCACACACAUUACACAGAGAGGUACACAACUACACACAUUACACAGAGAGGUACACAACUACACACAUUACACAGAGAGUUACACAACCAGACACACACAUUACACAGAGAGGUACACAAGCACACACAUUACACAGAGAGGUACACAAGCACACACAUUACACAAAGAUGUACACAACUACACAUACACACAUUACACAAAGAGGUACACAACUACACAUACACAUUACACAGAGAGGUACACAACCAGACACACACAUUAGACAGGGAGGUACAUAACUACAGACACAUUACACAGAGACGUAAACAACUACACAGUUACACAACACUGCAGGUUGUUAUGCACAAAACAUUACACAAUGCACACUUUUACACCACACAAG